CCUACGGGUGGCUGCAGUGGGGAAUAUUGCACAAUGGGCGAAAGCCUGAUGCAGCAACGCCGCGUGAAGGAAGAAGGGUUUCGGCUCGUAAACUUCUAUCAACAGGGACGAAAGAAAUGACGGUACCUGAAUAAGAAGCCCCGGCUAACUACGUGCCAGCAGCCGCGGUAAUACGUGGGAUGCAAGCGUUAUCCGGAUUUAUUGGGUUUAAAGGGUGCGUAGGCUGUGAGGUAAGUCAGCGGUGAAAUGCCCCCGCUCAACGGGGUGAAGUGCCAUUGAUACUGCCUUGCUGGAAUGCGGAUGCCGUGGGAGGAAUGUGUGGUGUAGCGGUGAAAUGCAUAGAUAUCACACAGAACACCGAUUGCGAAGGCAUCUCACGAAUCCGCGAUUGACGCUGAUGCACGAAAGCGUGGGUAUCAAACAGGAUUAGAUACCCCAGUAGUC
Molecule: ribosomal RNA, 444 nt
Filed under: uncultured bacterium
Lineage: Bacteria
Description: partial 16S ribosomal RNA
Rfam family: Bacterial small subunit ribosomal RNA
Source: RNAcentral